UACCAUGCAGUCGAACGGUGAACACGGAGCUUGCUCUGUGGGAUCAGUGGCGAACGGGUGAGUAACACGUGAGCAACCUGCCCCUGACUCUGGGAUAAGCGCUGGAAACGGCGUCUAAUACUGGAUAUGUGACGUGACCGCAUGGUCUGCGUCUGGAAAGAAUUUCGGUUGGGGAUGGGCUCGCGGCCUAUCAGCUUGUUGGUGAGGUAAUGGCUCACCAAGGCGUCGACGGGUAGCCGGCCUGAGAGGGUGACCGGCCACACUGGGACUGAGACACGGCCCAGACUCCUACGGGAGGCAGCAGUGGGGAAUAUUGCACAAUGGGCGCAAGCCUGAUGCAGCAACGCCGCGUGAGGGACGACGGCCUUCGGGUUGUAAACCUCUUUUAGCAGGGAAGAAGCGAAAGUGACGGUACCUGCAGAAAAAGCGCCGGCUAACUACGUGCCAGCAGCCGCGGUAAUACGUAGGGCGCAAGCGUUAUCCGGAAUUAUUGGGCGUAAAGAGCUCGUAGGCGGUUUGUCGCGUCUGCUGUGAAAUCCGGAGGCUCAACCUCCGGCCUGCAGUGGGUACGGGCAGACUAGAGUGCGGUAGGGGAGAUUGGAAUUCCUGGUGUAGCGGUGGAAUGCGCAGAUAUCAGGAGGAACACCGAUGGCGAAGGCAGAUCUCUGGGCCGUAACUGACGCUGAGGAGCGAAA
Molecule: ribosomal RNA, 695 nt
Filed under: Microbacterium sp. Y4_251_5
Lineage: Bacteria; Bacillati; Actinomycetota; Actinomycetes; Micrococcales; Microbacteriaceae
Description: bacterial SSU rRNA
Rfam family: Bacterial small subunit ribosomal RNA
Source: RNAcentral